Sphingobacterium faecium PCAi_F2.5 is the source of this 93-nucleotide non-coding RNA. The record is from Rfam. Lineage: Bacteria; Pseudomonadati; Bacteroidota; Sphingobacteriia; Sphingobacteriales; Sphingobacteriaceae.
UAUACGCUUUAGGGGUAUUCUGUAAAGAAUUGAGAGAGUCCCUUUGAACCUGAUCCGGCUAACACCGGCGUAGGGAAAAGCAAUCAGUCCAUC